This 509-nucleotide ribosomal RNA is filed under the name uncultured bacterium. RNAcentral describes it as "partial 16S ribosomal RNA". It matches the Rfam family "Bacterial small subunit ribosomal RNA", at positions 28 to 506 of the family's 1533-position model. The record is from RNAcentral.
GACGAACGCUGGCGGCGUGCUUAACACAUGCAAGUCGAACGAAGAGCGAUGGAAGCUUGCUUCUAUCAAUCUUAGUGGCGAACGGGUGAGUAACGCGUAAUCAACCUGCCCUUCAGAGGGGGACAACAGUUGGAAACGACUGCUAAUGCCGCAUACGAUCUGACCUCGGCUUCGAGGAUAGAUGAAAGGUGGCCUCUAUUUAUAAGCUAUCACUGAAGGAGGGGAUUGCGUCUGAUUAGCUAGUUGGAGGGGUAACGGCCCACCAAGGCGAUGAUCAGUAGCCGGUCUGAGAGGAUGAACGGCCACAUUGGGACUGAGACACGGCCCAGACUCCUACGGGAGGCAGCAGUGGGGAAUCUUCCGCAAUGGACGAAAGUCUGACGGAGCAACGCCGCGUGAGUGAUGACGGCCUUCGGGUUGUAAAGCUCUGUUAAUCGGGACGAAAGGCCUUCUUGCGAAUAGUUAGAAGGAUUGACGGUACCGGAAUAGAAAGCCACGGCUAACUACGU